CUCAUGAAGUAGAUCGGCUGAGUGUCUGAAAUCCUGCCGAGCUUUGUUGGAACGAAGGAUUCUGUUCUAGUGUUGUUCUAAUUCUAUGGCUACUGGUAAAGCAUAGCGAUUGGGAUACCGACAUUGUAAUUCUUUGAUAUCUAGUCUAAUUCUUUCGUCCUCAUCGUAUUUUUAAUUCAUCAGUAUGUUGUAGGAAAUUGUUCGAUGCUUGUAAGAUAUCUAGUACCACAUGUCAAUUUUUAGAAGUUUUCAUCAGCGUUAAGAGCUAUAGGUAAUUGAGUUCAUCUGAAAUUGGGAGCUUAUUUUGAAAUGUGAAAUUCGAUCUUAACUGUAAGUUGUUUGUAACAUUGUUGGCUUCCCUCUCAGUGCUCAUCUGAUUAUUGAAAUGGGAACUGCUAACUAUCACCUUGAGUGUUUUAGAGGGAUGCGAUGCCUGGAUUUUUUUGGCCUCAAAUUUGUGCUUAAGGGAUUGCAAGUGAAUAAUGUUUGAUCAAUGUGCUAUUUCUCCACUGUCACUGAAAGCUGUCAAGGAUGCUGGAUAUGAAAGGAUGACCCAGGUGCAAGAGGCUACUCUGCCAAUAAUUCUUGAAUGAAAAGAUGUCCUUGCAAAAGCAAAGACAGGAACUGGAAAAACAGUUGGCUUUUUGGUAUUUAUUGCCCUUCAGCCCAACUAGUCAAUUUGAUUGUCAUAGUAGUUUACUCAACUAUUGCAGUGAUACAACUGUGGGAUUAACCCAUCUGACUGAGUUUACUUUAGCUUCCAGCCAUCGAAGUUCUCACUGCAUUACCUCGUUAAACGUCUAUAAAUUUGCUGGUGAUGUGCCCUACCAGGGAGCUUGCAAACCAAGUGGCUUCAGAGGCUCGGAAGCUUCUCAAGUAUCAUCGCUUAUUGGGUGUUCAGGUUGUAAUAGGUGGCAUACGGUUACCGCAAGAGCAACGGAGCAUGCAAGCUAACCCAUGUCAGAUUCUUGUUGCUACCCCUGGAAGGCUUAAGGAUCAUCUUGAGAACACACCUGGAUUCUCGACCCGAAUUAAAGGUGUCAAGGUUCUUGUUCUUGAUGAAGCUGACCGCCUACUGGAUAUGGGAUUCAGAAGAGAUAUUGAGAAAAUAAUUGUUUCUUUCCCAAAGAAAGGCAGACACUGCUUUUUUCUGCUACUGUUCCAGAAGAGGUUCUCUUGUAAAAGGAUAUAAAAAUAAAACACGCGUAUUCAUUGAGAAAUUUAUCUGAUCUUGUAGGUUGGCCUGCCUGCUGAUAGAGAACAGUAUAUACACAGUCACACAGACUUGGUAGGACUGGACGGAAAGGCAAGGAAGGCCAGGGCAUCUUACUGUUGGCUCCCUGGGAAAUGCAUUUUCUUAGUACGGUUAACGAUUUGUCAAUAUCAGAGGCUGUGGCACCUUCAGUUGAUUCAAGCAUUCGGGCAGUGGUCAAAGAUGCAGUCACAAGAGUGGAGAUGAAGAGCAAGGAAUCAGCCUAUCAGGCAUGGUUAGGGUACUACAACUCAAACAAGUCCAUCAGUCGAGACAAGGCCAGACUUGUUAGGCUGGCUGAAGAGUUCAGCCAGAGCAUGGAGCUUGAAGUCCCGCCAGCCAUACCCAAGCUCAUUCUACGGAAGAUGGGCCUUAGCAAUGUUCCUGGGCUCCGGUCUGCAUAACUAUGAUAACCCAAAUUCAGCAGAAUUUGACCAAACCAUACUGCUCACAGCUUGGUUUUGGAUAUCAGCACUUCAGCAGAUUGUUUUUUCUGAAGUUCAGAAGUUUCUGACCAUGCACCAGGUUCAGAAGCCAUGGCUUCAACAAUGACUGCUCCAUCUUAUCCGAAGCUGAAUCUUGACGGGUCCGUUAUCCACAGCAGACAGGUUCAAACAGCCCACCAAUGACUAUUGUUCAUAUAGCAAGUUGUUCUAAAGGCUAUGGAUUUGAUCCUGAUGACCUGAUCCAGUUUGAGAAAAAGAUGUGUGUGUGCACGCUGCCCCUCAGGCUAGAUAUCCGUGGAUUGUACCACUACAUUUCUUUAUCAGAUACUAGUAUCAUCCCAUUUCUUCCAUUCGAGCAUUAUUAUUUACGAGUGCACAUUUUUCUCGUUCCUCGAUGAUACCAUCUGAAUUAUAAUUUGUGCUCAGGCAAUGACCAAGUUCCUCGA
This is an RNA transcript of Panicum virgatum (switchgrass), 2144 nucleotides long. It is a transcript of the gene named DEAD-box ATP-dependent RNA helicase 25-like, with no coding region annotated. The transcript has 5 exons. Lineage: Eukaryota; Viridiplantae; Streptophyta; Magnoliopsida; Poales; Poaceae. The record is from RefSeq and is a predicted model, not a curated record.